RNAcentral lists this ribosomal RNA (1527 nucleotides) under Klebsiella pneumoniae. RNAcentral's name for it is "bacterial SSU rRNA". It matches the Rfam family "Bacterial small subunit ribosomal RNA". The record is from RNAcentral. Lineage: Bacteria; Pseudomonadati; Pseudomonadota; Gammaproteobacteria; Enterobacterales; Enterobacteriaceae.
AGAGUUUGAUCAUGGCUCAGAUUGAACGCUGGCGGCAGGCCUAACACAUGCAAGUCGAGCGGUAGCACAGAGAGCUUGCUCUCGGGUGACGAGCGGCGGACGGGUGAGUAAUGUCUGGGAAACUGCCUGAUGGAGGGGGAUAACUACUGGAAACGGUAGCUAAUACCGCAUAAUGUCGCAAGACCAAAGUGGGGGACCUUCGGGCCUCAUGCCAUCAGAUGUGCCCAGAUGGGAUUAGCUAGUAGGUGGGGUAACGGCUCACCUAGGCGACGAUCCCUAGCUGGUCUGAGAGGAUGACCAGCCACACUGGAACUGAGACACGGUCCAGACUCCUACGGGAGGCAGCAGUGGGGAAUAUUGCACAAUGGGCGCAAGCCUGAUGCAGCCAUGCCGCGUGUGUGAAGAAGGCCUUCGGGUUGUAAAGCACUUUCAGCGGGGAGGAAGGCGNCGAUUGACGUUACCCGCAGAAGAAGCACCGGCUAACUCCGUGCCAGCAGCCGCGGUAAUACGGAGGGUGCAAGCGUUAAUCGGAAUUACUGGGCGUAAAGCGCACGCAGGCGGUCUGUCAAGUCGGAUGUGAAAUCCCCGGGCUCAACCUGGGAACUGCAUUCGAAACUGGCAGGCUAGAGUCUUGUAGAGGGGGGUAGAAUUCCAGGUGUAGCGGUGAAAUGCGUAGAGAUCUGGAGGAAUACCGGUGGCGAAGGCGGCCCCCUGGACAAAGACUGACGCUCAGGUGCGAAAGCGUGGGGAGCAAACAGGAUUAGAUACCCUGGUAGUCCACGCCGUAAACGAUGUCGAUUUGGAGGUUGUGCCCUUGAGGCGUGGCUUCCGGAGCUAACGCGUUAAAUCGACCGCCUGGGGAGUACGGCCGCAAGGUUAAAACUCAAAUGAAUUGACGGGGGCCCGCACAAGCGGUGGAGCAUGUGGUUUAAUUCGAUGCAACGCGAAGAACCUUACCUGGUCUUGACAUCCACAGAACUUUCCAGAGAUGGAUUGGUGCCUUCGGGAACUGUGAGACAGGUGCUGCAUGGCUGUCGUCAGCUCGUGUUGUGAAAUGUUGGGUUAAGUCCCGCAACGAGCGCAACCCUUAUCCUUUGUUGCCAGCGGUNNNNNNNNNNNNNNNNNNNGGCCGGGAACUCAAAGGAGACUGCCAGUGAUAAACUGGAGGAAGGUGGGGAUGACGUCAAGUCAUCAUGGCCCUUACGACCAGGGCUACACACGUGCUACAAUGGCAUAUACAAAGAGAAGCGACCUCGCGAGAGCAAGCGGACCUCAUAAAGUAUGUCGUAGUCCGGAUUGGAGUCUGCAACUCGACUCCAUGAAGUCGGAAUCGCUAGUAAUCGUAGAUCAGAAUGCUACGGUGAAUACGUUCCCGGGCCUUGUACACACCGCCCGUCACACCAUGGGAGUGGGUUGCAAAAGAAGUAGGUAGCUUAACCUUCGGGAGGGCGCUUACCACUUUGUGAUUCAUGACUGGGGUGAAGUCGUAACAAGGUAACCGUAGGGGAACCUGCGGUUGGAUCACCU